GGCGCACAGCGGUGGAGCAUGUGGUUUAAUUCGAAGCAACGCGAAGAACCUUACCAGGUCUUGACAUCUUCUGACAAUUCCAGAGAUGGAACGUUCCCUUCGGGGACAGAAUGACAGGUGGUGCAUGGUUGUCGUCAGCUCGUGUCGUGAGAUGUUGGGUUAAGUCCCGCAACGAGCGCAACCCUUAUUGUCAGUUGCCAUCAUUAAGUUGGGCACUCUGGCGAGACUGCCGGUGACAAACCGGAGGAAGGUGGGGAUGACGUCAAAUCAUCAUGCCCCUUAUGACCUGGGCUACACACGUGCUACAAUGGACGGUACAACGAGUCGCUAACUCGCGAGGGCAAGCUAAUCUCUUAAAGCCGUUCUCAGUUCGGAUUGCAGGCUGCAACUCGCCUGCAUGAAGUCGGAAUCGCUAGUAAUCGCGAAUCAGCAUGUCGCGGUGAAUACGUUCCCGGGCCUUGUACACACCGCCCGU
RNAcentral lists this ribosomal RNA (475 nucleotides) under uncultured bacterium. RNAcentral describes it as "bacterial SSU rRNA". It matches the Rfam family "Bacterial small subunit ribosomal RNA", at positions 918 to 1397 of the family's 1533-position model. The record is from RNAcentral.